ACUCCUACGGGAGGCAGCAGUGGGAAUAUUGCACAAUGGGGGAAACCCUGAUGCAGCCAUGCCGCGUGUGUGAAGAAGGCCUUCGGGUUGUAAAGCACUUUCAGUAGGGAGGAAGGUAGUGUAGUUAACACCUGCACUAUUUGACUGUUACCUUACAGAAGAAGCACCGGCUAACUCCGUGCCAGCAGCCGCGGUAAUACGGAGGGUGCGAGCG
Molecule: ribosomal RNA, 214 nt
Filed under: uncultured bacterium
Lineage: Bacteria
Description: partial 16S ribosomal RNA
Rfam family: Bacterial small subunit ribosomal RNA
Source: RNAcentral